This 770-nucleotide long non-coding RNA is filed under the name Lathyrus oleraceus (garden pea). Its description in RNAcentral is "Pisum sativum (pea) long non-coding RNA (PSAT_LNC010218)". Lineage: Eukaryota; Viridiplantae; Streptophyta; Magnoliopsida; Fabales; Fabaceae. The record is from RNAcentral.
AUUUGGUAUCUUGGAUUCAAAAGAGGCGUUCCUGCAAAGCACUUUCUUUGUGCUCAGUAUCGGAUUGGUCCCUUUGAUGUAUGGAUUCGUAACAGGUAAUCUGAGCCACGCUUUCUUCUUCAUUUUUGUCUCUAUGCCAAAUUGGGAUAUUUCUGGAAUUUAACUGCCUUGCUGAGUGUUUACGUGUUUUUUACUGCAGUGAAUUUCUAUUGCCACUAUGAGGUUUGUGUUGCAAUAGCCAUUGCUUAUUCGGUGUUACCGGUUCGUCUGAAUUUCGAUAAGCAAUGCCUCUUUGUUCAAAAAUCUGAGAAAACAUGUCGCACAAAGUGUCUAAAUUGGUUGUUGUGGCUCACUUGUGAUCUUGAUAUUGUUACAAAUUACAAACAUGUCGCACAAAGUGUCUGAAUUCAUUUUUUUGCAGGUUAUGGUUCAUGGUAAUUUGGUGAGAGAAAUAUUAGUUAAGAAUGUAUCUUAAUAAUUCUGGCUGACUCAUUCCUUUGUCUUGACUAGUCAAAGGUACAAUGGAUUGGAUAUUCUCUGCACGGGUUGAUUUUGAUCGGAAGAAUGGAAUUGAUGGAGAAGUAUCGUUUCUGCUGUGAAGAAAACGAGUCUGUGUCGGGGCCUCGCCUCCAGGUUCAACAGCUGCGGCAGGGAUGGCAUCCAUAACACAUUGCAUUAUCUUAGGUCCCCUAGAGCCCAAAACAUUCAGAUCAGAUUGAGAACAUCGCACGAUGGAUAGCUCGUCUGCAGAAACUCUUGGAGACACUUGC